Anguilla rostrata (American eel) is the source of this 3525-nucleotide long non-coding RNA. RefSeq lists it as uncharacterized. NCBI's taxonomy places the organism in Eukaryota, Metazoa, Chordata, Actinopteri, Anguilliformes, Anguillidae. The record is from RefSeq and is a predicted model, not a curated record. The transcript is spliced from 2 exons.
ACUCCCAACCAUCCCCGGUCCAGCUGAUGAUGGACUGGCAUGUUUUAUCGGUUAGAAGCUCCAACAGGAACUGCCACAGCUGGAUUGGGCCACUGCCUGUAGGGACAGAACCAAGAAGGCAUCAGAGACUGAGGUCCAUGAGUAGGGUAAGUGGCUCACCCGUGAAUCCAGCCAGAACUGCAGCAGGGAUGACAGGCUCGCCCGUCUCCACAGGUUUAUUCCUCUCCUGCACGUAGUCUUUAAAGGACAGACCCUGCUUUCCCAGGCUCAGAGGCACCGAGGCAAAGUCAUCCUCGAAGCUGUCAUGGGAGGGGACUCGCUGCAUGUCAGCCAGGGAAGACUGGCUGCCCCAAGAGCGAAGCAUGGACUCCGUGCCAUCAAUGCUGUCCACGCUCUCCAUUGAACUCUGGUCCUUGGAGGAGACUGCACACACAAAGAGAGACACGGGCAGGUUAGUCCCCUAAUCCAUAGCGCACUCAUCCACCAGUUAGAUUCUUUGAUGCUAGAACUCUAUUUUUUCAGAGCUUCUAAAGUGUACAAGACUUAUGUGGCACUUGUAAAUCAAACAAAAAGCAAAUAGUAAUCAGUAAUCCACUCUUAUGCACCGGCACAUACUUGGAGGUCAAACUUACAAGGUUUGCAAAGUCCAGUCGCUUGGCUGCUUCUGGAGAAGUCCUGGGAGAUGGGCAUGUAGUUGACACUGACAGUGUGCAGUUGGGGCUUGGAGAAAAUGGAGUACUUCGGCUCUGGGUUGAGGAGCGUGGUCCUGUCCGGGGCCUCAAAGAGCUCCCUCAAAAGGUUGCUGCUGCUGCAGUCGGGCACUUGAAGAGAGCUGCUGGUCUCCUCCAUGCUGAAGCCUGCGGGGACAACAGUUAAACUGAUUAAGUUACCACUCCCUCCUUCCUCAAACACCUCCCACUUCCAACGCAGCCCCUCACCAUCACACAAUUUCUUUAUUGUUUUAGUCCAAAGAAACACAAAUGCUUACCGACUGAGUUGUUAGUCAACCAGUUGGUCACUGAAGGCACAGUGCUACUGAGGUUCUGGGACUCUUCUUUCGCCUGGGAAUCUAUGGGACACAAUGAGGGACAACUCUGCUUGUAAAAAAACUCUAACAUACUCAAUGGAUAAUAGAUUAUGGAUACGAUAAUUGUGAAGCCACAUUGCUGGAAGAAAACUGGAAGGAGCACGACCAAUCGUGGUUGAAGGCUAGAAAUACCAACAGAACUACGCUGUCAAUGAUUGGUGAAUACUUUCAGGCUAUAUUUCUGGGAUCUGUAGGAAUUACUACUAGUGAAAGGAAGCCAGAAAAUAUCUACUAAUAACUGUGGGUAUUGUUCUGUUGUUGUUAGCAACGUAAUACGUGAUUAGUGGAACUCCUCUUCGUUAUCUUCCAGUAAGCAGACAUCACAAUUGUCUUAUUCAGAUUUUGUUAUACCUGACACACCAAGCUCUGCCCUUAACACAAAGCCUGCACUGAGCUCAGGACUGUGGGAACAGAAGCCCAGUCUCUCAUUACCUUUCAUCAUCUGAUCCAGGUGCUCCCAGAGGAUGUCACCCACAAAGUCCGGUGCCAGGUCCAGGAAGCGCUCCUUGCCCAGGUCACAGAGCUCCUGUCCAUUCAUGUUGAACUUGAAGAAGUUGAUGUUCGACAGGCUGAACUCAUUAGCUACCCAGAGCAGCCACUGUAUCACAUGUUGCUUGCUCCAUGUGCGGGGGUCUGCCAGACAAAGACAGUAGGUAUGUCACUAUUUGGAUGUGUCAGGUGCCAACCACAGCCAACCGUAAACUAAUAUAAUUUGAAAGGCAAAGUAGAAGCACAAAUUCAAUGCAGCGAUAGUACUGAACACGUUGAAACAAUGAAGCAAGGAGUAGAAAGCAGUGUGUCUUACAGCAAUUAGAUAAAAACACUCUAAAUCCCAAUACAAGACACUUCUCUCAUUAUGGGAAUGGUGCUUUUGAACAGUUAGCACAGAAAGAAGUUAGGAUCCUUUCAUCAGCUAAGUUGCGGUGUACAAGCUGGUUUCACUAAAGUUGGAAAAAGUGAAAGAGGCAGAGGGAAGAGACUUACUGUUGGAGAUCCCACAGCGAUGUUGCACUUUGGCAAACCCACUGAAGCUGUCGUUAAGGGCCUGGCUCAUCACUGCUUUGCUGCAGGGGGUCAGCAGGGGCACCGUGCAGGGACCCAGAUCUGUGGGACAGCAUGAACAUGCACUCUAAGGAUCCUGUUACACUAAGCAAUCUACACACAACUUCUGUUACAUGCAACUAAAUUGCUCUAGGAUUGCAUCGUGUAACACCAAUGCAAAUUACUUGCAACUCGGAUGAAUUUAGUUGCAGCCGGUUCUGAACAGCUCAACUUCAAGCAACCGAUUUCAUGCAAUAGCUAAUCUGAGUAGAGAUACAGGUCGCACAUGCACUUAUGCACCUACAUUUUAAUCCGUAAUAUUAAUUUAGCUAAUAUGGUGUUUUUGGGGUUUCUUCCUCAUUUUCAAGGAGAUCGAAAAUUGGGAAUAUUAACACAUAAACAUUUGUGUUUCCUUGUUGAAAGUAUUGCCAGUGACAUUAAGGACAAAAAACAUAGCGAACAAUACACCGUUAUAUUAUCAACCGUGAAUGUCCUGAAAUUAUACUAAAAUAAACACCGAUAGAAUGUAUCAAUGCAACGUCAAAUGAGAUUACGUAACACACUUUAUUCUGUUUGUUGAUUGACUACAAUUUUAAUUUCUUGCAAAUUGUCUCGUGUAACAGUGUUAUCGCUUGAAAUAACAUCAGAGCCAAUGUGUUGCAAGCAACAGAAGUUGUGUGGAAAUUGUUUGGUGAAACAAAACCCUAAGACACAUCAGCAGGGAUGAAACCUAGACCCCGCAGGCAGCGGUUUUCUUUUGGAGAAUAAAUGCCAAAGCAGGUUGGCUUGGCAAUGGCACUAAUGACCAGCUGCUCCUCUGCCAUACGUUAGGCAUUACAGCAGAAGGGAUGUAAUGCUACCUGCCACACAGCCCUGGUUUACUUCUCUUGCUGUUUAUGACCACAAAGACCAGCAGGGUGUCAACUUCUUUUGAAAUUUAAGGUUUAGCCUCCCAGCUUGCCUGAUUAUAAAGGGAUGGAAUGAAUCGUAACUGUACAGGCACUGAAUAAAUUUACAUUGUAACCAGGCGUAAUGCAGUUCUGGUGUAAUUUUGCAAUGAUGUGGAUUUCUUGUUCGUGUUCUCCCUCAGCUGAGCAGACACAGAGGAUUUCAAAUGUACUGAGGAUUUCAAAAUAGCGGUAACUGCGUUAUUUAUUUCAAAAGGUUUCUCACCAUUUCCCGUCAAGUCAUUUUCAUCACUGAGAGAUGACGUAACUCAAAUUUGUAGGAUAUUUGCCAUUCACGCUUAACCAGGUCAUGCGAGACGCCCCUAACAAAUAAUAAUUUUUUACACUUUCAGAUGUGAUUUUGGGUCUUAAGGUACCAUUUAACACCCGUUUGCUCACAAAUCAUAUGGGUCUUCAGUGAGCAGAAUUAAAAAAAAAAAAAAAAAAAAA